Molecule: long non-coding RNA, 932 nt
Filed under: Oryza brachyantha (malo sina)
Lineage: Eukaryota; Viridiplantae; Streptophyta; Magnoliopsida; Poales; Poaceae
Description: long non-coding RNA (OBRA_LNC001915)
Source: RNAcentral
UUGAAACGAUAUGAAGAGGGAAGCUGCUAGCUUCUGAAUUCUGAAGUCUCAACUGACGUGAUGGUUCUUCUUGGCUUGUUCUGUCAACCCCUUCUCCAAUGGUAGUGUAGAGAACCAUGUUCAACAGUCAGUUCAUAAAUGAAUGAUUAUCCACAGGUAAAUUACUACUCACUAAUGAUCUUGGUAUAGAACUAACGGAGCAGCAAAAGGAGUUAUAAUCUGUAGAAGUUGAAUUUAAACUUGUAUUUUUUUAAGUAACGUAUCUCAUAUUAGUUUAUCUUUGUCAAUUUUUUAAAAUAUUUUAAUGACUUUUUAGGUGAAAUGCAACAUCCAUUUAUGUGUUAAAAACACUUUCCCCGACAAGGUAAACAUGUAACUUUAAUAUAACACUCAUGGUUCACAUAGCAGAGAACAAAAAAAAAAGACUGAGAUUCAGCAUAAUUAAAAUUCCAUACAUGUUGCGUUAAGCAUGAACUGAACAUAAUUGCAGUAAAAGAUGACGAAGAAUUAAACAUGACACAAUCUAAACCGUUUUGUUAAACACCUUAACGGCAUCAACUGAGACGAGCUACCGAGUAAAAACUUAAAUUGAAGAACAACCAUGAUAUAUAGCUCAAGAUAAAUAUGUAGACAGAUCAAUAAGUGGCUAGAUUAAGCAGAGCUACUUCGGUGACCGCUGACCGUUCACAAUAAAGAGGAUCAUGGCGCCGCUGCGAGCUCGUUGAUCGAGCGACGACACCGUCGCCGCCGAGAUCCACCUCAGACGGAGUCUGCAAGCCCUGGCGCCGCCUCGUCACCGAUCGCGUCCUCCUCCUCCGUCUUCCACCGGACGCCAUUCCUCCACGACGGCGACGGCGACCACGAACUCCUCCCACACAAUCCCGGCCACGCCAUGAUCGCGGCGGACGAGGGUUUUUGAGGCUUGGCAUGGC